RNAcentral lists this ribosomal RNA (497 nucleotides) under uncultured bacterium. Its description in RNAcentral is "partial 16S ribosomal RNA". It matches the Rfam family "Bacterial small subunit ribosomal RNA", at positions 28 to 507 of the family's 1533-position model. The record is from RNAcentral.
GAUGAACGCUGGCGGCGUGCCUAAUACAUGCAAGUCGAGCGAACAGACGAGGGGCUUGCUCCUCUGACGUUAGCGGCGGACGGGUGAGUAACACGUGGAUAACCUACCUAUAAGACUGGGAUAACUUCGGGAAACCGGAGCUACUACCGGAUAAUAUAUUGAACCGCAUGGUUCAAUAGUGUAAGACGGUUUUGCUGUCACUUAUAGAUGGAUCCGCGCCGCAUUAGCUAGUUGGUAAGGUAACGGCUUACCAAGGCAACGAUGCGUAGCCGACCUGAGAGGGUGAUCGGCCAGACUGGAACUGAGACACGGUCCAGACUCCUACGGGAGGCAGCAGUAGGGAAUCUUCCGCAAUGGGCGAAAGCCUGACGGAGCAACGCCGCGUGAGUGAUGAAGGUCUUCGGAUCGUAAAACUCUGUUAUUAGGGAAGAACAAAUGUGUAAGUAACUAUGCACGUCUUGACGGUACCUAAUCAGAAAGCCACGGCUAACUACGUG